UACAGAGGUCUCAAGCGUUGUUCGGAUUCAUUGGGCGUAAAGGGCGCGUAGGCGGCGGGGUAAGUCGGGUGUGAAAUCUCAGGGCUCAACCCUGAAACUGCACUCGAUACUGCUCUGCUUGAGGACUGGAGAGGAGACUGGAAUUCACGGUGUAGCAGUGAAAUGCGUAGAUAUCGUGAGGAAGACCAGUGGCGAAGGCGGGUCUCUGGGCCGAUACUGACGCUGAGGAGCGAAAGCGUGGGGAGCGAACAGG
Molecule: ribosomal RNA, 253 nt
Filed under: uncultured bacterium
Lineage: Bacteria
Description: partial 16S ribosomal RNA
Rfam family: Bacterial small subunit ribosomal RNA
Source: RNAcentral